RNAcentral lists this ribosomal RNA (490 nucleotides) under uncultured bacterium. RNAcentral describes it as "partial 16S ribosomal RNA". It matches the Rfam family "Bacterial small subunit ribosomal RNA", at positions 30 to 507 of the family's 1533-position model. The record is from RNAcentral.
AUUGAACGCUGGCGGCAUGCUUUACACAUGCAAGUCGGACGGCAGCACAGAGAAGCUUGCUUCUUGGGUGGCGAGUGGCGAACGGGUGAGUAAUAUAUCGGAACGUACCGAGUAAUGGGGGAUAACUAAUCGAAAGAUUAGCUAAUACCGCAUUUUCUCUGAGGAGGAAAGCAGGGGACCUUCGGGCCUUGCGUUAUUCGAGCGGCCGAUAUCUGAUUAGCUAGUUGGUGGGGUAAAGGCCUACCAAGGCGACGAUCAGUAGCGGGUCUGAGAGGAUGAUCCGCCACACUGGGACUGAGACACGGCCCAGACUCCUACGGGAGGCAGCAGUGGGGAAUUUUGGACAAUGGGCGCAAGCCUGAUCCAGCCAUGCCGCGUGUCUGAAGAAGGCCUUCGGGUUGUAAAGGACUUUUGUCAGGGAAGAAAAGGCUGUUGCUAAUAUCAAUAGCUGAUGACGGUACCUGAAGAAUAAGCACCGGCUAACUACGUG